GUAGGGAAUAUUGGGCAAUGGUCGGAAGACUGACCCAGCCAUGCCGCGUGCAGGAAGACGGCCCUCUGGGUUGUAAACUGCUUUUAUCUGGGAAGAAAAAGGCCAUGCGUGGCAAAUUGCCGGUACCAGAUGAAUAAGCACCGGCUAACUCCGUGCCAGCAGCCGCGGUAAUACGGAGGGUGCAAGCGUUGUCCGGAUGUAUUGGGUUGAAAGGGUGCGUAGGCGGCUGAUUAAGUCAGCGGUGAAAGACUCCGGCUUAACCGGAGCAGUGCCGUUGAUACUGGUUAGCUUGAGUGUUGGAGGGGUACAUGGAAUUGAUGGUGUAGCGGUGAAAUGCAUAGAUACCAUCAGGAACACCGAUAGCGAAGGCAUUGUACUGGCCAACAACUGACGCUGAUGCACGAAAGUGUGGGGAUCGAACAGGAUUAGAAACCCGUGUAGUCC
Molecule: ribosomal RNA, 444 nt
Filed under: uncultured bacterium
Lineage: Bacteria
Description: partial 16S ribosomal RNA
Rfam family: Bacterial small subunit ribosomal RNA
Source: RNAcentral